RNAcentral lists this ribosomal RNA (497 nucleotides) under uncultured bacterium. Its description in RNAcentral is "partial 16S ribosomal RNA". It matches the Rfam family "Bacterial small subunit ribosomal RNA", at positions 28 to 507 of the family's 1533-position model. The record is from RNAcentral.
GACGAACGCUGGCGGCGUGCCUAAUACAUGCAAGUCGAACGCUGAAGAGAGGAGCUUACUCUUCUUGGAUGAGUUGCGAACGGGUGAGUAACGCGUAGGUAACCUGCCUUGUAGCGGGGGAUAACUAUUGGAAACGAUAGCUAAUACCGCAUAACAAUGGAUGACACAUGUCAUUUAUUUGAAAGGGGCAAUUGCUCCACUACAAGAUGGACCUGCGUUGUAUUAGCUAGUAGGUGAGGUAAUGGCUCACCUAGGCGACGAUACAUAGCCGACCUGAGAGGGUGAGCGGCCAAACUGGGACUGAGACACGGCCCAGACUCCUACGGGAGGCAGCAGGAGGGAAUCUUCGGCAAUGGGGGCAACCCUGACCGAGCAACGCCGCGUGAGUGAAGAAGGUUUUCGGAUCGUAAAGCUCGGUUGUAAGUCAAGAACGGGUGUGAGAGUGGAAAGUUCACACUGUGACGGUAGCUUACCAGAAAGGGACGGCUAACUACGUG